RNAcentral lists this ribosomal RNA (460 nucleotides) under uncultured bacterium. Its description in RNAcentral is "partial 16S ribosomal RNA". It matches the Rfam family "Bacterial small subunit ribosomal RNA", at positions 338 to 795 of the family's 1533-position model. The record is from RNAcentral.
CCUACGGGAGGCAGCAGUGAGGAAUAUUGGUCAAUGGACGCAAGCCUGAACCAGCCAAGCCGCGUGAGGGAUGACGGUUCUAUGAAUCGUAAACCGCUUUUGUACGGGGGUAAAGGGAGAGACGCGUAUCGUUCUGAAAGUACCGUAUGAAUAAGGAUCGGCUAACUCCGUGCCAGCAGCCGCGGUAAUACGGAGGAUUCAAGCGUUAUCCGGAUUUAUUGGGUUUAAAGGGUGCGUAGGCGGUCGGGUAAGUUAGAGGUGAAAGCCUGUGGCUCAACCUAGGAAUGGCCUUUGAUACUGGUCGGCUUGAGUAUGCUUGCGGUAGGCGGAAUGCAUGGUGUAGCGGUGAAAUGCUUAGAUAUCACGAAGAACCCCGAUUGCGAAGGCAGCUUGCUGCGGCAGGACUGACGCUGAUGCACGAAAGCGUGGGGAUCGAACAGGAUUAGAUACCCGAGUAGUC